Molecule: small nucleolar RNA, 265 nt
Filed under: Metschnikowia bicuspidata var. bicuspidata NRRL YB-4993
Lineage: Eukaryota; Fungi; Ascomycota; Pichiomycetes; Serinales; Metschnikowiaceae
Description: Small nucleolar RNA snR191
Rfam family: Small nucleolar RNA snR191
Source: Rfam by way of RNAcentral
ACCCAAAGACCUUUGUCAGGGUGACGACCGUGGUCUCCGGACCACACCUUAUCUACGUCGUUGUCUGUUACGUCCUUGGAAGAUCAAUGCUACCCGCCUGUGGUCCCGUGUGCCGUUUUGGUGCGCGGUGCUCUUGCCGUUUUGGCUCGAGCCUUGUCCACGCCUGCCGAUAGUUUUUAUUGGCAAUUCAGGGUAGCCACGGAAUCUUGUUGAGUUGGACCUACCCCACCUUAUGGGUUUGUCCGUAGUAUAGAAGCCGACACUU